This 253-nucleotide ribosomal RNA is filed under the name uncultured bacterium. Its description in RNAcentral is "partial 16S ribosomal RNA". It matches the Rfam family "Bacterial small subunit ribosomal RNA", at positions 524 to 776 of the family's 1533-position model. The record is from RNAcentral.
GACGGAGGGUGCAAGCGUUGUUCGGAUUGACUGGGCGUAAAGGGCGUGUAGGCGGUCGGUCAAGUCGGGUGUGAAAGCCCGGGGCUCAACCCCGGAACUGCCCUCGAAACUAGGUAGCUAGAAUCUUGGAGAGGCGAGUGGAAUUCCGAGUGUAGAGGUGAAAUUCGUAGAUAUUCGGAAGAACACCAGUGGCGAAGGCGACUCGCUGGACAAGUAUUGACGCUGAGGUGCGAAAGCGUGGGGAGCAAACAGG